GUCUUAAUGAAAAAUAAUUCUAAGUGUGGUUUCGGCCUAUAUAAUACAGUAAAAUCUGUUUAAGACU
Molecule: transfer RNA, 67 nt
Filed under: Tonicina zschaui
Lineage: Eukaryota; Metazoa; Mollusca; Polyplacophora; Chitonida; Ischnochitonidae
Description: tRNA-Arg
Source: RNAcentral